UCUACGGGCGGCAGCAGUGAGGAAUAUUGGUCAAUGGACGAGAGUCUGAACCAGCCAAGUAGCGUGAAGGAUGACUGCCCUAUGGGUUGUAAACUUCUUUUAUAUGGGAAUAAAAUGUUCCACGUGUGGGAGUUUGUGUGUACCAUAUGAAUAAGGAUCGGCUAACUCCGUGCCAGCAGCCGCGGUAAUACGGAGGAUUCGAGCGUUAUCCGGAUUUAGUGGGUUUAAAGGGAGCGUAGGUGGAUUGUUAAGUCAGUUGUGAAAGUUUGGGGCUCAACCGUCAAAUUGCAGUUGAAACUGGCAGUCUUGAGUACAGUAGAGGUGGGCGGAAUGCGUGGUGUAGCGGUGAAAUGCUUAGAUAUUACGCAGAACUCCGAUUGCGAAGGCAGCUCACUGGACUGCAACUGACACUGAGGCACGAAAGUGUGGGUAUCAAACAGGAUUAGAUACCCUGGUAGUC
This 460-nucleotide ribosomal RNA is filed under the name uncultured bacterium. RNAcentral describes it as "partial 16S ribosomal RNA". It matches the Rfam family "Bacterial small subunit ribosomal RNA", at positions 338 to 795 of the family's 1533-position model. The record is from RNAcentral.